AGCGAACGCUGGCGGCAGGCCUAACACAUGCAAGUCGAACGAACCUUUCGGGGUUAGUGGCGGACGGGUGAGUAACACGUGGGAACGUGCCUUUAGGUUCGGAAUAACUCAGGGAAACUUGUGCUAAUACCGAAUGUGCCCUUCGGGGGAAAGAUUUAUCGCCUUUAGAGCGGCCCGCGUCUGAUUAGCUAGUUGGUGAGGUAAAGGCUCACCAAGGCGACGAUUAGUAGCUGGUCUGAGAGGAUGAUCAGCCACAUUGGGACUGAGACACGGCCCAAACUCCUACGGGAGGCAGCAGUGGGGAAUCUUGCGCAAUGGGCGAAAGCCUGACGCAGCCAUGCCGCGUGAAUGAUGAAGGUCUUAGGAUUGUAAAAUUCUUUCACCGGGGACGAUAAUGACGGUACCCGGAGAAGAAGCCCCGGCUAACUUCGUG
This 433-nucleotide ribosomal RNA is filed under the name uncultured bacterium. RNAcentral's name for it is "partial 16S ribosomal RNA". It matches the Rfam family "Bacterial small subunit ribosomal RNA", at positions 29 to 507 of the family's 1533-position model. The record is from RNAcentral.